UGCAAGUCGAACGAGUUCUGAUUAUUGAAAGGUGCUUGCAUCUUGAUUUAAUUUUGAACGAGUGGCGGACGGGUGAGUAACACGUGGGUAACCUGCCCUUAAGUGGGGGAUAACAUUUGGAAACAGAUGCUAAUACCGCAUAAAUCCAAGAACCGCAUGGUUCUUGGCUGAAAGAUGGCGUAAGCUAUCGCUUUUGGAUGGACCCGCGGCGUAUUAGCUAGUUGGUGAGGUAACGGCUCACCAAGGCAAUGAUACGUAGCCGAACUGAGAGGUUGAUCGGCCACAUUGGGACUGAGACACGGCCCAAACUCCUACGGGAGGCAGCAGUAGGGAAUCUUCCACAAUGGACGCAAGUCUGAUGGAGCAACGCCGCGUGAGUGAAGAAGGCUUUCGGGUCGUAAAACUCUGUUGUUGGAGAAGAAUGGUCGGCAGAGUAACUGUUGUCGGCGUGACGGUAUCCAACCAGAAAGCCACGGCUAACUACGUGCCAGCAGCCGCGGUAAUACGUAGGUGGCAAGCGUUAUCCGGAUUUAUUGGGCGUAAAGCGAGCGCAGGCGGUUUUUUAAGUCUGAUGUGAAAGCCCUCGGCUUAACCGAGGAAGUGCAUCGGAAACUGGGAAACUUGAGUGCAGAAGAGGACAGUGGAACUCCAUGUGUAGCGGUGAAAUGCGUAGAUAUAUGGAAGAACACCAGUGGCGAAGGCGGCUGUCUGGUCUGUAACUGACGCUGAGGCUCGAAAGCAUGGGUAGCGAACAGGAUUAGAUACCCUGGUAGUCCAUGCCGUAAACGAUGAAUGCUAGGUGUUGGAGGGUUUCCGCCCUUCAGUGCCGCAGCUAACGCAUUAAGCAUUCCGCCUGGGGAGUACGACCGCAAGGUUGAAACUCAAAGGAAUUGACGGGGGCCCGCACAAGCGGUGGAGCAUGUGGUUUAAUUCGAAGCAACGCGAAGAACCUUACCAGGUCUUGACAUCUUUUGAUCACCUGAGAGAUCGGGUUUCCCCUUCGGGGGCAAAAUGACAGGUGGUGCAUGGUUGUCGUCAGCUCGUGUCGUGAGAUGUUGGGUUAAGUCCCGCAACGAGCGCAACCCUUAUGACUAGUUGCCAGCAUUUAGUUGGGCACUCUAGUAAGACUGCCGGUGACAAACCGGAGGAAGGUGGGGAUGACGUCAAAUCAUCAUGCCCCUUAUGACCUGGGCUACACACGUGCUACAAUGGAUGGUACAACGAGUUGCGAGACCGCGAGGUCAAGCUAAUCUCUUAAAGCCAUUCUCAGUUCGGACUGUAGGCUGCAACUCGCCUACACGAAGUCGGAAUCGCUAGUAAUCGCGGAUCAGCACGCCGCGGUGAAUACGUUCCCGGGCCUUGUACACACCGCCCGUCACACCAUGAGAGUUUGUAACACCCGAAGCCGGUGGCGUAACCCUUUUAGGGAGCGAGCCGUCUAA
This 1442-nucleotide ribosomal RNA is filed under the name Lacticaseibacillus rhamnosus. RNAcentral describes it as "bacterial SSU rRNA". It matches the Rfam family "Bacterial small subunit ribosomal RNA". The record is from RNAcentral. Lineage: Bacteria; Bacillati; Bacillota; Bacilli; Lactobacillales; Lactobacillaceae.